UAAAUCUAUUAAUUCAGUAUCGGAAAACACACCAUUUUUAUUCUUCUUUUCAUUAAUCAACAACUUUCUAACAUCAUCCUGAUACAUAUCAACAUUAGAAGUCUUUUUCUUUUUGUCAAUAUCCAAGCCAAAAACACUGCUGCAUUCGAAAAGGCGAACCGCGCGGACCCGACUUCUUCCUUUUAUGCUGAAACUAGCCGCUGGGGGAAAAGAGCCCAGAAGGGUAAAAAAAACAACAGGGGUUGCUCGCCUUGUUGAAACUAGUCCCCUUGCUGGCUCGGAAGCACCAGACCUAUUCGUUUCACUCGAGAAAGUCAUUUGCUUCACCGGUUCGAUAUGCGAUAUCAAAAUCCUUUCCUUCCACGGAUGCGACUAAAAAGAGAACGAAAAGACCCGGAAAUAACGAAUAAUGAGAAAAUUCAUUUAUAGACAUUUCGUGCUCAUUUCCAAAUUUCUGCUUAGUUAUUCCCAUCAUCCGGUAACCACAGGAUGAUCCCAAUCCCGUAGCAGCUACUUUUAAGGUUUAUCGCCCAUCGGCCCAGAAAUCCAUAGAAAGACGAUUGAGAUUAGUGAAUGGCAUCGAUCUGAAGUUCAUAGAAUCUCUAGCGUGCAGUUGUCUGUCUUCUAUUUUGAUCGAGCACUUUCUCCGUUAUACGAGCAUGCAAUUCCUCAAGAAAUCAGUGUUUUCCAAUAUAGAAGUGGAGUAGUUCUUGUGCAAUCUAGGCAUAGGGCUACUAGAAUCCAUCACUAAAAGAGGAGUUUUC
This 764-nucleotide long non-coding RNA is filed under the name Hordeum vulgare. RNAcentral describes it as "long non-coding RNA (HVUL_LNC017887)". Lineage: Eukaryota; Viridiplantae; Streptophyta; Magnoliopsida; Poales; Poaceae. The record is from RNAcentral.